Ictidomys tridecemlineatus (thirteen-lined ground squirrel) is the source of this 410-nucleotide RNA transcript. It is a transcript of the gene named C-reactive protein, with no coding region annotated. The record is from RefSeq and is a predicted model, not a curated record. Lineage: Eukaryota; Metazoa; Chordata; Mammalia; Rodentia; Sciuridae.
CCAGAGAGCCAGUUUGCCAGCACUGUGAUAUCUCUGGCACAUGAGACGUUUCAUUACCCAGAGGGUGAGAUUCAAAGUACCACAUUAUAUUUAGUUGUCAAGUCUCCUUAGGUUCGUCUUGGCUGUGACAAUUUCUCGCUUUCCUGACUUCUGAUGACCUUGAUGGUUUUGAAGAGCACUGGUCAGCACGUUCAUUUCUUCCUGCUGCUGCCCUUGGACAUCAGACUCCAGGUUGUUCGGCCUUUGGAUUCAGAUGGAAUCCUUGGCCUCAUUUCUCCUUCUGAGGUUCAGCUUCUUGGCCUGAGCUGCUCCAGCCUUCCCUGACUCCCAACCUGUCGACAACUACCAGGGGACUCUUCCGCCUCUGUUUGUGUGAGCCAAUCUAAUAAAUCUUCUUAUGAUUCUAUGUA